This 495-nucleotide ribosomal RNA is filed under the name uncultured bacterium. RNAcentral's name for it is "partial 16S ribosomal RNA". It matches the Rfam family "Bacterial small subunit ribosomal RNA", at positions 28 to 507 of the family's 1533-position model. The record is from RNAcentral.
GACGAACGCUGGCGGCGUGCCUAAUACAUGCAAGUAGAACGCUGAAGGAGGAGCUUGCUCUUCUGGAUGAGUUGCGAACGGGUGAGUAACGCGUAGGUAACCUGCCUGGUAGUGGGGGAUAACUAUUGGAAACGAUAGCUAAUACCGCAUAAUAACAGUUGUUGCAUGACAACUGUUUGAAAGGUGCAAUUGCAUCACUACCAGAUGGACCUGCGUUGUAUUAGCUAGUUGGUGGGGUAACGGCUCACCAAGGCGACGAUACAUAGCCGACCUGAGAGGGGGAUCGGCCACACUGGGACUGAGACACGGCCCAGACUCCUUCGGGAGGCAGCAGUAGGGAAUCUUCGGCAAUGGACGAAAGUCUGACCGAGCAACGCCGCGUGAGUGAAGAAGGUUUUCGGAUCGUAAAGCUCUGUUGUAAGGGAAGAACGAGUGUGAGAGUGGAAAGUUCACACUGUGACGGUAUCUUACCAGAAAGGGACGGCUAACUACGUG